Molecule: microRNA, 22 nt
Filed under: Spodoptera frugiperda (fall armyworm)
Lineage: Eukaryota; Metazoa; Arthropoda; Insecta; Lepidoptera; Noctuidae
Description: sfr-miR-10453-5p
Source: miRBase by way of RNAcentral
AUGAAUACGCGUAUCAAUGACA